ACGGGGGUACAGGCCUAUCACAUGCAAGUCGAGCGGAUGACGGGAGCUUGCUCCUUGAUUCAGCGGCGGACGGGUGAGUAAUGCCUAGGAAUCUGCCUGGUAGUGGGGGACAACGUUUCGAAAGGAACGCUAAUACCGCAUACGUCCUACGGGAGAAAGCAGGGGACCUUCGGGCCUUGCGCUAUCAGAUGAGCCUAGGUCGGAUUAGCUAGUUGGUGAGGUAAUGGCUCACCAAGGCGACGAUCCGUAACUGGUCUGAGAGGAUGAUCAGUCACACUGGAACUGAGACACGGUCCAGACUCCUACGGGAGGCAGCAGUGGGGAAUAUUGGACAAUGGGCGAAAGCCUGAUCCAGCCAUGCCGCGUGUGUGAAGAAGGUCUUCGGAUUGUAAAGCACUUUAAGUUGGGAGGAAGGGCAGUAAGUUAAUACCUUGCUGUUUUGACGUUACCGACAGAAUAAGCACCGGCUAACUCUGUGCCAGCAGCCGCGGUAAUACAGAGGGUGCAAGCGUUAAUCGGAAUUACUGGGCGUAAAGCGCGCGUUAGGUGGUUGUUAAGUUGGCAUGUGAAAGCCCCCGGGCCUCAAGCUGUGNAACUUGCAUUCCAAACUUGGCAAAGCUAGAGUACGGGAGAAGGGUGUGGAAUUCCUGNUGUAG
RNAcentral lists this ribosomal RNA (656 nucleotides) under uncultured bacterium. RNAcentral's name for it is "bacterial SSU rRNA". It matches the Rfam family "Bacterial small subunit ribosomal RNA", at positions 33 to 678 of the family's 1533-position model. The record is from RNAcentral.